Molecule: unclassified non-coding RNA, 334 nt
Filed under: soil metagenome
Description: partial contains 5.8S ribosomal RNA, internal transcribed spacer 2, and large subunit ribosomal RNA
Rfam family: 5.8S ribosomal RNA (bases 1-120)
Source: RNAcentral
GAUGAAGAACGCAGUGAAAUGCGAUAAGUAAUGUGAAUUGCAGAAUUCAGUGAAUCAUCGAAUCUUUGAACGCACAUUGCGCCCCCCAGAAUUCUGGCGGGCAUGCCUGUUCGAGCGUCAUUUCAACCAUCAAGCCCUGCUUGUGUUGGGGUCCUGCGGCUGCCCGCAGGCCCUGAAAACCAGUGGCGGGCUCGCUAGUCACACCGAGCGCAGUAGCACAUCUCGCUCAGGGCGUGCGGCGGGCUCCAGCCGUUAAAGCACCCACCUUUCGCAAGGUUGACCUCGGAUCAGGUAGGAAUACCCGCUGAACUUAAGCAUAUCAAUAAGCGGAGGA